Molecule: ribosomal RNA, 528 nt
Filed under: Spermophagus sp. 7 GJK-2015
Lineage: Eukaryota; Metazoa; Arthropoda; Insecta; Coleoptera; Chrysomelidae
Description: partial 16S ribosomal RNA
Rfam family: Bacterial large subunit ribosomal RNA
Source: RNAcentral
UCAAAAACAUGGCUUUUUGAUGAUAAUUUAAAGUCAGGCCUGCCCACUGAUAAUUAAAGGGCCGCGGUAAUUUGACCGUGCUAAGGUAGCAUAAUCAUUAGUUUCUUAAUUAGAAGCUAGAAUGAAUGGUUUGAUGAAAAAAUUUCUGUCUCUAUUUAAUAAAAAUGGAAUUUUAUUUUUAAGUUAAAAAGCUUAAAUUUAAUUAAAAGACGAGAAGACCCUUUAGAGUUUAAUAUAUAAUUAAGUGAUAUUAAAUUGGUAUAUUAAUUUUUUAUUUAUUAGUAUAUUUAAUUGGGGUGAUUAAAAAAUUAAAUAAACUUUUUUUAUUUUAAAUCAUAAAUAAAUGAAUAUUUGAUCCAUUAAUAAUGAUUAUAAGAAAAAAUUACCUUAGGGAUAACAGCGUAAUUUUUUUUGAGAGUUCUUAUCGAAAGAAAAGAUUGCGACCUCGAUGUUGGAUUAAAAAUAAUUUCUGGUGUAGCAGUUAGAAAUUUUAGGUCUGUUCGACCUUUAAAAUUUUACAUGAUCUGA